This 253-nucleotide ribosomal RNA is filed under the name uncultured bacterium. RNAcentral describes it as "partial 16S ribosomal RNA". It matches the Rfam family "Bacterial small subunit ribosomal RNA", at positions 524 to 776 of the family's 1533-position model. The record is from RNAcentral.
UACGUAGGGACCAAGCGUUGUUCGGAUUUACUGGGCGUAAAGGGCGCGUAGGCGGCGCGGUAAGUCACUUGUGAAAUCUCUGAGCUUAACUCAGAACGGCCAAGUGAUACUGCAGUGCUAGAGUGUGGAAGGGGCAAUCGGAAUUCUUGGUGUAGCGGUGAAAUGCGUAGAUAUCAAGAGGAACACCUGAGGUGAAGACGGGUUGCUGGGCCAACACUGACGCUGAGGCACGAAAGCCAGGGGAGCAAACGGG